This 1328-nucleotide ribosomal RNA is filed under the name Lactiplantibacillus plantarum. RNAcentral describes it as "bacterial SSU rRNA". It matches the Rfam family "Bacterial small subunit ribosomal RNA", at positions 97 to 1412 of the family's 1533-position model. The record is from RNAcentral. Lineage: Bacteria; Bacillati; Bacillota; Bacilli; Lactobacillales; Lactobacillaceae.
GGCGAACUGGUGAGUAACACGUGGGAAACCUGCCCAGAAGCGGGGGAUAACACCUGGAAACAGAUGCUAAUACCGCAUAACAACUUGGACCGCAUGGUCCGAGUUUGAAAGAUGGCUUCGGCUAUCACUUUUGGAUGGUCCCGCGGCGUAUUAGCUAGAUGGUGGGGUAACGGCUCACCAUGGCAAUGAUACGUAGCCGACCUGAGAGGGUAAUCGGCCACAUUGGGACUGAGACACGGCCCAAACUCCUACGGGAGGCAGCAGUAGGGAAUCUUCCACAAUGGACGAAAGUCUGAUGGAGCAACGCCGCGUGAGUGAAGAAGGGUUUCGGCUCGUAAAACUCUGUUGUUAAAGAAGAACAUAUCUGAGAGUAACUGUUCAGGUAUUGACGGUAUUUAACCAGAAAGCCACGGCUAACUACGUGCCAGCAGCCGCGGUAAUACGUAGGUGGCAAGCGUUGUCCGGAUUUAUUGGGCGUAAAGCGAGCGCAGGCGGUUUUUUAAGUCUGAUGUGAAAGCCUUCGGCUCAACCGAAGAAGUGCAUCGGAAACUGGGAAACUUGAGUGCAGAAGAGGACAGUGGAACUCCAUGUGUAGCGGUGAAAUGCGUAGAUAUAUGGAAGAACACCAGUGGCGAAGGCGGCUGUCUGGUCUGUAACUGACGCUGAGGCUCGAAAGUAUGGGUAGCAAACAGGAUUAGAUACCCUGGUAGUCCAUACCGUAAACGAUGAAUGCUAAGUGUUGGAGGGUUUCCGCCCUUCAGUGCUGCAGCUAACGCAUUAAGCAUUCCGCCUGGGGAGUACGGCCGCAAGGCUGAAACUCAAAGGAAUUGACGGGGGCCCGCACAAGCGGUGGAGCAUGUGGUUUAAUUCGAAGCUACGCGAAGAACCUUACCAGGUCUUGACAUACUAUGCAAAUCUAAGAGAUUAGACGUUCCCUUCGGGGACAUGGAUACAGGUGGUGCAUGGUUGUCGUCAGCUCGUGUCGUGAGAUGUUGGGUUAAGUCCCGCAACGAGCGCAACCCUUAUUAUCAGUUGCCAGCAUUAAGUUGGGCACUCUGGUGAGACUGCCGGUGACAAACCGGAGGAAGGUGGGGAUGACGUCAAAUCAUCAUGCCCCUUAUGACCUGGGCUACACACGUGCUACAAUGGAUGGUACAACGAGUUGCGAACUCGCGAGAGUAAGCUAAUCUCUUAAAGCCAUUCUCAGUUCGGAUUGUAGGCUGCAACUCGCCUACAUGAAGUCGGAAUCGCUAGUAAUCGCGGAUCAGCAUGCCGCGGUGAAUACGUUCCCGGGCCUUGUACACACCGCCCGUCACACCAUGAGAGUU